RNAcentral lists this ribosomal RNA (164 nucleotides) under uncultured bacterium. Its description in RNAcentral is "partial 16S rRNA". It matches the Rfam family "Bacterial small subunit ribosomal RNA", at positions 355 to 511 of the family's 1533-position model. The record is from RNAcentral.
UAGGGAAUCUUCCACAAUGGGCGAAAGCCUGAUGGAGCAACGCCGCGUGUGUGAUGAAGGCUUCCGGGUCGUAAAGCACUGUUGUAUGGGAAGAACAGCUAGAAUAGGAAAUGAUUUUAGUUUGACGGUACCAUACCAGAAAGGGACGGCUAAAUACGUGCUAG